Molecule: ribosomal RNA, 426 nt
Filed under: uncultured bacterium
Lineage: Bacteria
Description: bacterial SSU rRNA
Rfam family: Bacterial small subunit ribosomal RNA
Source: RNAcentral
UGGGGAAUUUUGGACAAUGGGCGCAAGCCUGAUCCAGCCAUACCGCGUGGGUGAAGAAGGCCUUCGGGUUGUAAAGCCCUUUUGUUGGGAAAGAAAUCCAGCUGGUUAAUACCCGGUUGGGAUGACGGUACCCAAAGAAUAAGCACCGUCUAACUUCGUGCCAGCAGCCGCGGUACUACGAAGGGUGCAAGCGUUACUCGGAAUUACUGGGCGUAUAGUGUGCGUAGGUGGUCGUUUAAGUCUGUUGUGAAAGCCCUGGGCUCAACCUGGGGACUGCAGUGGAAACUGGACGACAAGAGUGUGGUAGGGGGUAGCGGAAUUCCUGGUGUAGCGGUGAAAUGAGUAGAGAUCAGGAGGAACAUCAAUGGCGAAGGCAGCUACCUGGACCAACACUGACACUGAGGCACGAAGGCGUGGGGAGGAAAC